GGCACAUACACUUUUAGGCGUGCUUUGUACCAGGCGCUCGGCGUGCAUUAUUUCCGAGAACUCUCAUUAAAACCUGGCAAGGGUUUGCGAUGUGUCCGCACCACCUCGUACCCACACAGCAAGUAAUCCUACAAGAAGGCAGCAUUACACCCAUUUUACAGAGGAGAAAACUGAGGCCACGAGAGGGGCUGGAACUUGCCCGAGGUCACGCUGAGCUAAUACAAGUCAUACCAGGGAGGCAACCCUUUGACUAAGGCUUUUCUACUCAGGAGCCAUCUGCCCUGCCAUUUAUUUGCUACUUUGUUUGAUGCCCGUCUCCUUUCCUACCUGAUGAAAUGGAACCGGAGAAACAACACGCUUAAAGUUGCUCUGGCGGGCCGUGGCUUACUAAUGAUACGAGAUAAGGAACUAUUCACAUGUUGAAGUUUAUCUGUGUACGAUCCAAAUCUGCACCUUGUAAGCCCUUCUGCAGAGUGGGCAUUCCGGGGACAUCUCGCCUCUGAGUCUGACUGGGGGAGCUCAUCCCCCCCCCCCCCCCCCCCCCCGGCGGCCGGAGGCCCAGGCUCCUCAGGGGCCACGAGCAAGAGCCUGGAUUUAUCGCCUCCUCUCUGGGGCGUCAGGCCCAGCAUACACUGUUCAGUCGGAUGCCUGGAAAGGCCCCCGUUGGGCUGGCUCCCACCUUUUCUCACCCGGGCAAUGUUGGAGGAAAGAGGUUUCGAAGCAAAGGAUGAGGCACCCCCCCUCCCCCCCGUCUCCCUCAGGGUACCUGCUGCUGGGAGCUAGGACAGCCUGUGCCACAACUGCCCAUCACCCCUGCCACCCCCAGCCCUGGCCACAAUCCCACUUCUGCCUCCGGUGAGGGAGGCCAGAUGCAGAGGAGGGGGAGGGGGCCCGGCCCAGGCCAAGAGGCUGUCCUGACAUGUUUCUGUUUACAGAAGGAGAAAAACCAGAGACACGAGGAAACCUUUCGGGCAGUGGCAGGGGAGAUGGGAGUCCGUAGAGGUUGUCCAGCCACCAGGGAUGGGACUGGAGUGAUUUGGGGAAAGGGGAGACCCGCGAGGAGGUCGCAGGAAGGGGAGGGGCGCCCGGGGCCAGCCGCAGCCAGAGACGGGAGAAGCCGGAGAAGAAGAGGGAGCCUGGCGUAUGAAGGACAGAGGGAGGAAGUGGGGGCAGAGAAGGAGCGGCCAGGGAGGGGAGGACAAAGAUCAGCGGGUCCAAAGGGAAGAUUCAAGGAAAAGGGAGGCCGUGCGAGCUGUAUGGAGGGUGUUCCAGAAGUCAAACCCAGGAUACCUCCUGCUCCCAAAAGAAUUAAAAGCGGGGAGAGGGGCUCCAGCAGGUCCCCCCCCCCCCGUGUUCCCAGCAGCAUGCCUCACAACAGCCAGAUGGUGGAGACAACCGGGUGUCCAUCGCGGGAUGAAUGGGACACAACAUGUGGUUUUGCCGAUA
Lynx canadensis (Canada lynx) is the source of this 1446-nucleotide long non-coding RNA. RefSeq lists it as uncharacterized. Lineage: Eukaryota; Metazoa; Chordata; Mammalia; Carnivora; Felidae. The record is from RefSeq and is a predicted model, not a curated record. The transcript has 2 exons.